This 337-nucleotide ribosomal RNA is filed under the name Klebsiella pneumoniae. RNAcentral's name for it is "bacterial SSU rRNA". It matches the Rfam family "Bacterial small subunit ribosomal RNA", at positions 1 to 336 of the family's 1533-position model. RNAcentral also lists the same sequence under 1 other name. Lineage: Bacteria; Pseudomonadati; Pseudomonadota; Gammaproteobacteria; Enterobacterales; Enterobacteriaceae. The record is from RNAcentral.
AAAUUGAAGAGUUUGAUCAUGGCUCAGAUUGAACGCUGGCGGCAGGCCUAACACAUGCAAGUCGAGCGGUAGCACAGAGAGCUUGCUCUCGGGUGACGAGCGGCGGACGGGUGAGUAAUGUCUGGGAAACUGCCUGAUGGAGGGGGAUAACUACUGGAAACGGUAGCUAAUACCGCAUAACGUCGCAAGACCAAAGUGGGGGACCUUCGGGCCUCAUGCCAUCAGAUGUGCCCAGAUGGGAUUAGCUAGUAGGUGGGGUAACGGCUCACCUAGGCGACGAUCCCUAGCUGGUCUGAGAGGAUGACCAGCCACACUGGAACUGAGACACGGUCCAGAC